RNAcentral lists this long non-coding RNA (877 nucleotides) under Mytilus galloprovincialis (Mediterranean mussel). The record is from RNAcentral. Lineage: Eukaryota; Metazoa; Mollusca; Bivalvia; Mytilida; Mytilidae.
UUUCAACAAAGUGUCUUGAUGGCCCCCAAAUUCAUCCUUAUGUACAGUGCAAUGCUCCCAGGUCUACAAAAUUAUAACUACUUUAAGGAAAAAUACUCCCUAAAAUUGUUUCCUGUAAUGUUCUACCCUCCUCUUGUAUUUGUACAAAACAUAUUUACUCAAUUAUUUUGUCGUUUUUCUUCACAAAAGGCAACCCUUUUAUUUCUCUUUUUUUCUUUAUCCUAAAUUAUAUAUACAUUAUACUUUAUCUGGGGCCACAUUUCCAUUCAUGAUAUACUACAUGAGCGGCCACGUUGUCAAACAUUUAUUAUACAAUAUAUGUAUUUAUCAUAUACUUAGCAUUGAUAUGAUAGCUUUUGCAUAUGUGUAAUGAGCGGAAGUACACAAGCCAUAGUUUCCCACCCCGGCUGAUAACCCAUAUCAGGUGCAUCUCAUGCACAAAACCCAUAAUAGUGCCUCACGUGCAAAUAACUUCCGGUGUUUCCAGUAUCUGUUGUUUACUUUUCUUACUCCGUCUCGUGAUGAUACCCAGGCUGAUAUGGAAAAGGCCAUGUAUUAAUCUCUAUAUAUGCAUGAGGUGGAUACAAGGAUAUAUCAACUUAAAAGAAGUAUAUUUACUGAGAACAAAGUCUGAGGUCAAUAUACUUCUUUGGGUUGAUUAAUAAUGUCUGACCAUAUCUGUAUCGAAAUUGUCAGUGUAAUAUAGUUGAUCAUAUGAUUUUGUUGGAAUUAUGUAGAUAUCAUAUUGACUCCUAGACAAUAACAGCAUAUUUGUUGUUAUUUCAUUUAUUUUUCAUGUUUUUUUUUUUAAUAUCUUUCUUUUUUUAACAAAAUCAUAAAUAUACACUUUUAAAGACUUUUAACAAUAUCAUGAAAC